Molecule: non-coding RNA, 76 nt
Organism: Myotis lucifugus (little brown bat)
Lineage: Eukaryota; Metazoa; Chordata; Mammalia; Chiroptera; Vespertilionidae
Source: Rfam
GGUGGUUCUCGGGUGACGCACCCCAGAACCAGAGAGGAGGGAGCCCGAUUCCGGGGUGUGUCACCCGAGAACCGCC